RNAcentral lists this long non-coding RNA (524 nucleotides) under Cicer arietinum (chickpea). RNAcentral's name for it is "long non-coding RNA (CARI_LNC000227)". The record is from RNAcentral. Lineage: Eukaryota; Viridiplantae; Streptophyta; Magnoliopsida; Fabales; Fabaceae.
CCAUAUAACAAUUUAUUCAAAACUAAAUUCUCAAAUUUUAAAUAAUAAGUCAAUAAGUCACCCUAAAUCAAUAAGUCAAAUAUAAAAAGUUCAACACUUAUUUCUGAUACAUAAAAUAUAAGGCCCUAAAGCAAGAACAAUUUAUCCCCGAAAGAUUCCCUCUAAUUAGUGAUCUCAGCUUCUUCUUCAGCACGAGGCUACAAGUCGUCAAAGUACUCUUGCGAGCUAUUCUUCGAAGCUUACCACAAUACCCCAUCUUCCUAGGAGAAAAGGUCUCGGAAGAAGAUUCCUUUCUAGCUGUUAAAAGCUCUCUCUUUCAUUCUUCUUUAAUCUUUUCAAAAAUAAAUGGAAAAUCUAAAAACUUCUCAGACAUCACGCCUUAUGUAACCGCCCUAUGUAACUUUGGAGUCGUGUAUCUUAUACUAAAGUCGGCCUUGAUUUUCAUAGUAAUUUUAUCUUUUUUCAAUAAAACAUUUUUAAAAAAUCAUUUAAAGUAAACUUGCAAGAACAUCUUUGAAAACGAU